Molecule: small nucleolar RNA, 135 nt
Organism: Jaculus jaculus (lesser Egyptian jerboa)
Lineage: Eukaryota; Metazoa; Chordata; Mammalia; Rodentia; Dipodidae
Source: RefSeq, a predicted model, not a curated record
GAUGUGCAGUCUUGUUGGGGCUACCUGAGGCCUGGCUCCCCACUGCAAGGCUGGAUCGAAGGCAUGGCUGACCUGGCCUUCGGGUCUGCUGUCAUCCCAGUUCCUGGCGGCGGCCUGUAGGGAGGUCCACAUGGG